UCAAACAAAAGAGUCAGUCUUAAAAAGAGAAGGUGUGAGAGGAGCAAAUACAGCGUGAAACUUCUUGGGAAUUUGCCUGCAUAAUAAUCAGCUCUGUUGCUGUGGAUGCCCAGGCUGCCAGAGGGUUCUUCGGACGAGCUUCGGCAGGACCUGAUGAGAUGUGCGCGUAUGCAGAUUGUUCCUUGCUCUGGGGAGAGGGUCUGUCAGUCAAAUGUCAAAGUUAAGGCCACUCUCCCGAGUAUCUCCCAGCCAGA
Molecule: long non-coding RNA, 254 nt
Organism: Leptonychotes weddellii (Weddell seal)
Lineage: Eukaryota; Metazoa; Chordata; Mammalia; Carnivora; Phocidae
Source: RefSeq, a predicted model, not a curated record